RNAcentral lists this small RNA (17 nucleotides) under Arabidopsis thaliana (thale cress). Its description in RNAcentral is "ATSL235490". The record is from RNAcentral. Lineage: Eukaryota; Viridiplantae; Streptophyta; Magnoliopsida; Brassicales; Brassicaceae.
UUUUAUUAUUUUUAUAU